This 279-nucleotide ribosomal RNA is filed under the name uncultured bacterium. RNAcentral's name for it is "partial 16S ribosomal RNA". It matches the Rfam family "Bacterial small subunit ribosomal RNA", at positions 506 to 784 of the family's 1533-position model. The record is from RNAcentral.
UGCCAGCAGCCGCGGUAAUACGGAGGGGGUUAGCGUUGUUCGGAAUUACUGGGCGUAAAGCGCACGUAGGCGGAUUAGUAAGUUAGGGGUGAAAUCCCGGGGCUCAACCCCGGAACUGCCUCUAAUACUGCUAGUCUUGAGUUCGAGAGAGGUGAGUGGAAUUCCGAGUGCAGAGGUGAAAUUCGUAGAUAUCAGGAGGAAUACCGGUGGCGAAGGCGACCACCUGGACAAUGAUUGACGCUGAGGUGCGAAAGCGUGGGGAGCAAACAGGAUUAGAUA